This 3052-nucleotide long non-coding RNA is filed under the name Pomacea canaliculata. RNAcentral's name for it is "uncharacterized LOC112567069, transcript variant X2". Lineage: Eukaryota; Metazoa; Mollusca; Gastropoda; Architaenioglossa; Ampullariidae. The record is from RNAcentral.
GCACCAGUGACAGAAACGGAGAAGUAGAUUUUCUUUCCUUCUGCUCCGUUGGCCAGGGCCCGUCUCUCCAGGUGCACUCACCCCUCUACGCAACGCGGCGCUUAGACAUCAGCAGCAGAAGCAGAAGAGAAAGACUUCGGACUUUUGAACUCUCUCCUGCUAUGUAACAGGUGGCAUCUGCAGUCCCAGAUACCCAGAACAAAGACCCUGCAAUCAAUCAGCAGACUGCUGUACCUGUACGAUGUCUGUUUCCGGAUGAUAGACUUGGCCUCCUGAUCUCCCACACACUCCUCUGAGUCUGACGAGUCGCUCUGGGGUCGAGCCCUGCCGAUACCCUGGGCCAUGGAGACGUGCAGAGCGCCGCCACCUUCUAGGUCUCUACCCGGCCAGUGCCUGCCUGCAACACAGGUCUCAGCAAUGGAUGUCACGUGACAAAUGUUACCUGAGUCCUUUAUUGGGCUGGAUCGCCGCUGAAACAGCUGCUCAUACAGAGGUCCAAAGAAAAUAUCCUUGAUGUCAAAAAAUGUUAAAACCACUACCUUACAGCUCAGUGGAGAACAGCUGUGAUGGAGAUAAUCAAGCCGAUUCCCAAAAAACAGGACUUCAUUGAGACUUGAAUGACUUGAGGCAUGAAGAGCAUUGGAACAGAACUUUAUCAAGACUUGUGUAAUUCAGGUAUGGUGAGCAGUGAAAGAGUGACUUGCAAGCUGCCUCCUUAUCAGCCAGUCCUCAUCAUGGCGGCUGGUCAGCAACAGAAAUAGAUCAGUUCACUCAAAUGACCAGGGUCAUGUGCAACAAGUCCCUUGGGGGAUGGCUAACGUGAAGAGGUCUGACUGGGAUCAAAAUAUAAACAUUUCAGCUGACUGUCAGGCUGCUAUACAUCAGCCAUCCAUCAAGCACUUAGUAACAUAUUGUGUACCUGGUUGACACAUAGCAGUCAGCCCACACUUACAAUAUGUUCAUAUUUUAUCAGCAAUUCAGCCGAAUGCAUCACAUUAGUUAUCCAAAUAACGCCUAGGGAGCUGCUAUACAGCCUAACCCCAACCAUGCUAGCUUAAAUUUCUUGUCAAAGGAUCACUUCUAGGGAAUGAUGUAGGAUAUAAGGAAGUAGUCAUCACACAUCUGAGAUAUUAAGACACUAAUAGCAAUUAAGUUUCCUUGUAGUUAUUAGCCCCAAAAGUGACACUACUAUCAAAAAAUGAAACUUUUUCUGUCAGAAGGAAGAAAUUGAUAAUCAUAGUUUCAUCUUAAUGGAUUUAAGAAUGUAAUACUACUAUGACAAAAAUGAAACUUUUUCUGUCAGAAGGAAGAAAUUGAUAAUCACAGUUUCAUCUUAAUGGAUUUAAGAAUGUACUGACCAUAUAUUCAUUCACUCAAACCAACAGCAAAAGGGAAUGUGUUAAAAAUGGACAACAUUUUAAAAGGGCACACAAUCUCUUGCAGAAAACAAACAAACAUUUAAAGCACUUUGCAGCAGCAGUACAGGAAAGCCCUGCCAUGCUCUGUAUAGCACAAACAGCUAGUAAAUCAAACAUACCCCAGUUCUUUAUGUACAUUCUCUGUGGAUGAGCUCUUGAUGAAAGCAGCACAUAAUCCAAAUCAGCAUCUGCAGCACCAGCCAGCUGACCAGCAAAACUCUACCUUUCUCACGACCUACUGUCCAGUUCAGAUGCUCAUGUCACUCGCCAUCACAUGGUCUUAAAACAAAAGCCAGGCACAAACACCAGAAAGUAUUCUUCAUUUGUUAUCUCCUUGCAAACAAUGGGCUGCUGCUGUUUCCUUGCCUGCCUCUCAAACCCGGAAGACUGUGCACUGUAUGAAUCUCACCAGAUGAGUGGACAGCCAUUAUGACAGCAGAUGCAAAUUAAAUGCACUGUGGUGCAAUUGUUGUAACACACUCUUUCCUCAAUGACUGAUUUCAUAACCACCAUUUGCAGUGAUGUGUACAUAUUUGGGAUGCCACAAUAGGCAUUCUCUCAAUUUCUUGCCACACAUCCACUUAUCUCUGUCAGAUUUGGAAUAUUUUAGGAAAAAACUUAUACCUGUUAUUCUUAUUUUACUUAAUGUAUAGCACCAAUCAAGAUCAAACUAAUUCUCUCAAAGUAUCAAUAGGAGAGUGAUUUCAUUUUUUUAACUUAUGGAUGGAGUUUUAAGAGUAAGUUAAAUGGUAAGAAAAUAUGUAAGUAAAACUAUAAGGCAUAGUGUAUACAAUUAUGCAGAACCACAAUACUGAAAUGUGAGUUUUAAAUCAGAAGUCUUAGGUUUUUUGAUACAUUAAAAUUAACACACCACUUUUUCAACACACCACUUUUUUUUGCUUCCUUGUGUCCACAAAUUUUCAAGGAAAUUAAUAAAGUUGAAUAUAGGCUAUUGCCUUUUAUAUCUUAACAAUAUUAGUUAAUAAUAUUUUUUUUAAAGAAAACUGAGAAGUUUUGUUAAUUUCUCAACAGCUAAAGUUGACAUUUUUGAUAGAAUAAGAAAUUUCUAAACAGUCUAUUUCAUAUUCUUACUAAAUACAGAUCACAAAUAUGCUCUAUAGACACAUACAUGUAGACACUGCCUUCCAGUAAAAAUGCUUUUGAAUGGGUGAAUUUAUAGGUGUAGCACCUGCACAGUAAUAUAAUUUAACAGAAUCAAUAGUUUCAUACGAUUUUCAUGAUCACCAUUGUAACCUUUAUACAGAAAAUUUGGCAAUAACCUUUGUGAAUUGUUUGACAUGUUAGAACAGUCUCUCUAGUGAUGCUGUAUCCCUCUCACAUACACACACCUAUAUACACAGAAACAUGCACACUAUUAUUUCAAACAGAAGUGGCUGUGACACACUAGUUUCUAUACCACUUUCAUUAUCAUGCUAUCUUUGAGUGGAAUCACAGGAAACUUUGCAGUGUCCUUUUCUACAUUUUGUAUGACAUGGGAUAACAACAAACCUUUAGUUAUGGUCUGUUUUCUAACAUAAACAAACCACCUGCAUAAGCAACUGCACACCAAUUAAACGUGUGUGCAUCUAUGUGUCUGCAUAUAUGUGUAAAAUAAAAAAAAUGUCUAAAUUUAA